UACGAAGGUUGCAAACGUUGCUCGGAAUCAUUGGGCGUAAAGCGCACGUAGGCGGCUUCGCAAGUCGGAUGUGAAAUCCCAUGGCUCAACCAUGGACGUGCAUUCGAAACUGCGAAGCUUGAGUAUGGAAGAGGGUCGCGGAAUUCCCGGUGUAGAGGUGAAAUUCGUAGAUAUCGGGAGGAACACCAGUGGCGAAGGCGGCGACCUGGGCCAAUACUGACGCUGAGGUGCGAAAGCGUGGGGAGCAAACAGG
RNAcentral lists this ribosomal RNA (253 nucleotides) under uncultured bacterium. RNAcentral describes it as "partial 16S ribosomal RNA". It matches the Rfam family "Bacterial small subunit ribosomal RNA", at positions 524 to 776 of the family's 1533-position model. The record is from RNAcentral.